Molecule: long non-coding RNA, 3400 nt
Filed under: Spirodela polyrhiza (greater duckweed)
Lineage: Eukaryota; Viridiplantae; Streptophyta; Magnoliopsida; Alismatales; Araceae
Description: long non-coding RNA (SPOL_LNC002467)
Source: RNAcentral
AGCACGGGUCCUCCAUGCACAGGGUGAGGUGGCCUUUUAUUUUGCAGAGGCGCUGGCAUUUGGCUGGCAGAUCAAUUAAACAUUAAUCUGAAAAGAAUAAAGAGGUUGCAUCGGAGAUUUGAAAACAGUAGGAAUGGCAGUCUUGUGAAUCAUAAGUUGGUUGAACACUGAAUCUAGAGGAGAAAUCAUAACAUGUAACGUGGUUUCUGCCAAUGAAUAAUGUAUUUAAUAUGACAACAAAAGCAAUGUACAUUCAUGUAAAGGAAGAAAUAUUAGAAAAAUAGUGAGAAUCGGUGGAAUGGCCUGGUUAAGUUCUUAGGGAGAUCUUGAUUUGCCAUCCACUUUCGAAAAUAAAAGGCUCUCUGCAUCCAUUCUGCAUACACAUGUGGAAGUUAUUUGAUUUGUAUCUGAUUUACAGCUGGGUGGAGAUGAUGGCUCCUGUGUUCUCAAGAGCUGCUUGGCGUUGUGUAUGGCAUAUGAUCCAGGUACGUGACAGUUAAUAUCAACCAAAUAUUAUUCUCAACCAGGCUUGUUCAAAAUUAUAUAAUCUGAGCACCUACCAUCUACAUUUAUAUCUUGUUUUCUUUAAUUCAGAAUGAUCUGAUUCAUGCAUGGGGUCUGGACUACAAGCUUGGCUAUUGUGCCCAGGUGAUGCUUUAACCAUGAUUUCCAUGUAUAUCUCUGAAGUAAGAAAGAACAUCUGACCACUUUUUGCAGGGUGAACGCUCUAAAACCAUCGGUGUGGUGGAUGCUGAGUAUAUUGUCCACAAGGGUAUUCCUACACUGGGAGGUUUUGAUCUCUACAAGGUAUGGAUUUGAUUUUUGGGUGCUAGUUUUUGCAUCACCUUUAGCCUUGCGAGUGCAACGGAUUCAGUAUCAUUUUCCAUUAAAAUGUUUUUCAGUGGUGAUUUUUCACAGCCAUGUGUCAGGUCAUUUCUCAUGAACCCAGUUGGUGACCAGACUUUUUUAAAGGAUUAUCCUCCUCUAUAACACGCUCAACUUCGUUUGGAGUUAACUCAUAUGAUUUAUAUUGCCUUGUGUAUGAGAAUUUAUCUUAGCAAAUAAAAUAUUCUAUAAGGUUGCCUUCCAUAAGCCCUUUCAUUGAUAAGAAUGCUGCCUAUCACGCAGUUAGCUCCAGAGCAAGCACCCAGUUCUCAUACUCAGGUGAAAGAUUCAUCUGACUCGAAAAAGCAGGUAUGCAAUUCUAAACUAUCUCACCUUAGAUUUAUCCCUUUUUUGUGUAAUUUUCUGAUAUAUUUCUCCCUACAGGUUCCAUCUGGAACAUCCUACGGCAAUGAAGAUAGGUUAAAUGUAAGCAGUAAUUAAAUCGCGAGUGUGCUACUGUUAUUUCAGAUAUUUUAUUUGCCGUUUCAAUCUUUCAGCUUUCUAGGGUUCUUAUCUCUUACGAUGACAAACAUUGAAAGCUUUUAGACCUCGCUUUUUCUAUUCCAACUCAUUCUAAUAUUAGUUGGUGUGGAGUUCUGCAUGUAGUGGCUGAUAUAGAUUUUAUAAAAUCAUCAGAAAAAUUGUGUUUAUUGUCCGAAGCAUGCAAUCUGACUACCAUAUUAUAAUCCCAAGAAAGCACUGAAAGGAUUUAUCUUACUCAGAAUAUGCUAAAUGACUGGACUAAAGAGCCGAUGACUGCUAUCUUUCUCCCUCCCUUCCAAUGAACUCCACACAUAAUCUUGCAGGUAAGACUGCGAUCAGCAGCCGAAUUGGAGAUUUUCAAGGAGAGGUGGAGUGAUGCAGUUGAUGAAGACGAAUGCUGGACAGAUCCAUAUCCGGAAAAGAUUAAGUGAAACACUGACGCCAAGCAUACUCUGAAAUUUCUUCUACUGAUCCCUCGUUCACAAUGAACUCCACACAUCUUCACAUCCAUUCAUGGAACCCCUAUGCGACCACUGGUCACGGGUGAGACGAGUAUAUAUGAUAGAUAUGCUCUUGGGUCGGUCAUGCUAAGCCGUAUAGAGAGGAGUUGCAGGCCACCCACACUUCACAAAAUUGUGGGAUCUCAUUUUUCGGUUGCUCAGGGGUUCUUAUCACACACAUAUACAUGCUACUAAAUCAGGUAUUCCUUCACAAUGGUUCAUAAGGUCUUGGCCAAGUCUUCACUGAGGCUCUUUGUUGCUGCCUCACUGUAAGGUCCGUACAUUAUCUAUCUCCUGUCAACAUUAAUUCCAUAGUUCGGUCUUGACGAAUCUACAGAGAAACAUGCAUUGCUUUUUUUUUUCUUCCUCCGGAAACAGGCGCCAUCUACAGGUCUUUAUUGUCACAAAGUGGAAAUAUUGUAAGAUCAUCCCUUUUUAUUGCAAUAAAUAUGUUUCCCCAUGGCAAUUAUAGUCCGGUGAGUAAAGUGACGCUACCAGAAUGCAGUUUUGGUGGUUCCUGAACAUUUAGCUGUAUAUCAUUACUGUGUAUAUCUGAAGCACUGAUGAUCUUGAUCACUGCCCCUACAUAAUUUAUUCUUCAGUGGUUACUCUUCAAUCACUUGAUUAUGUGAUAAUCAGAUAAUUUCUUGGAUAUAUGUGAUCCUGAAUGGCUGGGUCACAGAAAAAAAACAUAAUUUACUUAAUUCUCAUACAAGCCUAAACCCCGGACAGAUUUUAUCUCAUAACCGCAUGGAUUGGAACUCUAGCAUUUCUUGUAACAAUGCCAGAAAGGCCCCGUUGAAAAUUGUUUCUUUUUCUGGAUCAAAAUGCCAUGGAAAGAGGAGCGCAGAAGGUACCACCUACUUGAAUAAUUAGCAUAUAUGUUCUUCACACUUUAUACGCUCUCGGUGUAAUCUUCCCCUUUAAUCUGUCAUCCACCAGCCUGUAAUUCAUUUUCCUUGUAAAAAAAUCUUUAUGGAUAGGCCUUUCAUAAAAUUAUAAACGAAUGAUCACCUUCAUAAGGAAUAUAUUAAUGUAGACGCGCAAACAAUCACCCGCUUCGUUGAAAUCUCUAUUAAACCCUUGGAUGAAAUGACAAAGGCACCACAGCAAUGAAAUGGUCUACGAACCUUUGGAGAUCUGCUUCCCGAGGAGACCGAUGGCCAGAUCCGAGAUUCUCCUUUCCUGGAACAACGACCUUUGAGGGCCUGAAACUCUCCCCCCGCAAGUAGGAAUGCGAUCUGCAAUCGAUCCGGCCGUGAUCACCAAAUCAAUUGGAACCAGGAGGCGGGAACGGAGACCUGGCUUUCAAGAGGUAGACGGAUCGCAGAAGCCUGAUGUUCGUUCCUUCUCGGCUUCAACGUCCGAUCAGUUGCCUCAUCAGAUGAAGACGCAGAAACACAAUUCGCCAACUGGAUCGAAGCCCUCGUUGGCCCCGUUCAAGCCCCGAGGGAGGAGGAAGAAGAGGCAGAAAUUGGAUUCUCUGUCGCCGCCGUCGAUUGCCCAGAAGCUCUAUGAGAAAAUGCCGAAGC